CCUACGGGAGGCAGCAGUGAGGAAUCUUGGUCAAUGGGCGCGAGCCUGAACCAGCCAAGUCGCGUGAGGGAAGACGGUCCUAUGGAUUGUAAACCUCUUUUGUCGGGGAGCAAAAGACGCCACGCGUGGCGUUCCGAGAGUACCCGAAGAAAAAGCAUCGGCUAACUCCGGGCCAGCAGCCGCGGUAAUACGGAGGAUGCGAGCGUUAUCCGGAUUUAUUGGGUUAAAAGGGUGCGCAGGCGGAAGAUCAAGUCAGCGGUAAAAUUGAGAGGCUCAACCUCUUCGAGCCGUUGAAACUGGUUUGCUUGAGUGAGUGAGAAGUAUGCGGAAGGCGUGGUGUAGCGGUGAAAUGCAUAGAUAUCACGCAGAACUCCGAUUGCGAAGGCAGCAUACCGGCGCUCAACUGACGCUCAUGCACGAAAGUGUGGGUAUCGAACAGGAUUAGAUACCCCUGUAGUC
Molecule: ribosomal RNA, 459 nt
Filed under: uncultured bacterium
Lineage: Bacteria
Description: partial 16S ribosomal RNA
Rfam family: Bacterial small subunit ribosomal RNA
Source: RNAcentral